This is a long non-coding RNA of Hypomesus transpacificus, 5923 nucleotides long. RefSeq lists it as uncharacterized. The record is from RefSeq and is a predicted model, not a curated record. The transcript has 2 exons. Lineage: Eukaryota; Metazoa; Chordata; Actinopteri; Osmeriformes; Osmeridae.
UGGUAAUUUGUGUCUUAAUUUCAAAGUAAUCAGAAUUGGUGGUUUGGGGGAUAAAGGAUCUUUAAUUCUGUUCCAGACUUGUCGCUGUGCUGUCUUAGAACUACCCUUGAGUGUCUGUCUAUAAAUUGUCCACUAGGUGGCAGUCUAUCCCAGAUUGCAGGUUAGGGUUCGUAACUAUAAACCAAGCAGCCAUUGAGUGCCUGUGUCAUGGAAAAUUCCUACCGCUUGUGUGUAUUCAGCUCAAAUGGCUGAUGUCACAAUGGGACUGGUUUGAGGAAGUGCACCUCUGUAUUCUAUACUCUUUGAUUCUACUGGGGAAACUCCUGCCGAGGCCAAAUAUUUUUAAAACUGCAAAGGCUGGGUUCACUCAAUUCCACCUCUUUCCUCCUUGAAGAGAACUUUCAACAAACUAUCUCUUAGUCAACAGAAGACCUGGAAACAUGGUCCGGGGGAGUUAACACAGGUGUGUUUAGAUACACUCGAAGCUUCAUGAUGUUAUGAGUUAGGGGGUCAGAUGGUUGAGCGGUUAUGGAGCCGGGCUAUUAAUCAGAAGGCUGCCGGUUUGAUUCCCAGCUAUGCCAAAUGAUGUGUCCUCGGGAAAGGUACUCCACCCUACUUGCCUCGAGGAGAAUGUCCCUGUACUUACUGUAAGUCGCUCUGGAUAAGUGUCUGCUAAAUGUAAAUGUACAAUCUCUUGUUUUUCGAAUCUGAGUGAUCUGCAACAACAAUGGACCGAUUAGCUCUGCGGUCACAUGACAAACCCCGUGAUCCCACCUCUUCUGAGGGGUGCUGACAUGCUGUCCAAUGAGGUGAAGACUGGUCAGUGCAGUUUGUGUCAUCCCCGAUUUUGACCAAUGACGGGGCUUCUGGCUGCAGGUCAAAGGUCGAGGUGCUGGGUCUGGUUCUCAAGGAGGAAUACGUGCGUGGGCUGGCUGGGAACCUGGCAUAGGACGGCAGCUUUCAGACCUCUGAUGUGAACGUUCUCUUCAGCUCUUGAGAACAAGAGGCUUUGUCUUCUCUAUAACAACAUCUCAGACACAGAACUGGACCUCAUUUAACACGGCGACGGCUUUGUAAGGGUUGUGUGUGUGUGUGUUUGUGCUUGUUUUGUCUUGCGCCCUGAAAUUGGCGAUUGAGGUCAAUUUCCCAUUGAAUCUUCUUUCUGCCUUUCUCCUCCUCCAACAACCUGAAACCCCACACCAAGGGCCUCUCCAUUAUGCCCCCGCAGUGUGUGUGUGUGUUGUGACUGCUGCCCAAGAAUAUGCUGAAACUUGCCGCAGACCUCAAAGAGGAAAUCAGGACCCCAUCCUGGUUCUUUGUCCCCACUAACGAGGCCCCCUGCUGGGCCAGAGAGCAGACAGGACGCUGGUGACGUCCGACCUCCUGCCAGGCAGGAACCAGGCUGUCCCCCUCAGAGAUGGCCUGGCUUCACUGCCGGAAUAUCUAAAAUCCUCAAACCAUCCAAUUGGAUGAUUCUUCAUCAGGUCGUGUUCUGGUCCAAUGGAAAUGUUCCACCAAAUGGCAUUGCUUCCCAGAUACAAUACAAGUAAUGGACUGACAACACCCUGGACUGAAGACAUCUGUUUACAUUCCUUUUUGACCUUUUCAUCUAAUGGGAUUGAAGUCAUAACUAACCCCCACACAGGCUCCAGGUGUGUCCAGUCUGUGCAUGUCUAUACACAUGACUACAUAUGGGCCGAGAUCUCCAUGCGUCCUUAAAUGGACAGAUGAUGGUGGUAUGAGGGUGUGUGUGUGUUUGUGUUUACGACAGUGUAAUGCCACGUCGAUGUAGGGGCUACAUGUGAGUACCUGCCGUGUCACAUCCAUUACCAUCCUUUCUAACAAUGUUUGUAUUUUAAACACAGCACCUCCCCACUGGUCACCCCCUUUUGAUGCUCUUGUUUGGUUGCUAAGGUGUGGCGGGUGCACACAUAGACACACACCCACUCACUCACUCUCUCUCCCUCACUCACUCAAACACACAUUGUGUCAUACAAGACCUCUAUCAGUAACUUCUUAUCACACACAUACAGUCAUACUGUAUACAUAGUCAUACAUAUUCAAAAUGACAUAUUUUAAAGGUGAGAGUUAGUCUUGAUAUCUGGCAUACAUUGACAGAGGAUCUGGUUUAAUCUGGUCUGGGGGAGUUUUGACUACCAACCUGGGUGGAUUGUAAAGACAUACUGUAACUAGGUAACCUGAAAUGGGAAAAUGUCAACUCUAUUUUUGUAAUGAAUGUGGUGCAACACUGGUGUAGAUAACUACUCACACAGAAAAGACUUGCAUCCAAAAUUCUCACCCAAAACUUUCCCCAUCAACAGUGAUGGAAUGAUUUUGGAUUUGCCUUUCUGACUUUGCAUGGAUUACAUAUAUUCCCACAUACUUGUUAAUCUUGUCAUCACCCCCCCCCCCCCCCCCCCCCAAACUUCCUUCCUCUCCACACGCUAUUCCACUCACUCUUGCUCUCCUCUGUAAAUAUUAUUUGCAUAAUGCUCUUAGUCCAGUAAACAACCUCGUUCCUCAUCCUGGGUUAUCCCACGCACCAGUCUCCUGGUCAUCCAUGUGCCUGCCCUUCAGAGGACUGUUUAUUAUCAAAGAAGUGACUGUACUCAACUUAUUAUAAUCAACCACCACAACCGCAGGAAAACAGGCCGACGUGGCACGAAAGGGCGCCAGGGUUUUGGGGUUCACGAGGAGGUAGGAGUCAGUUUGUGUCUGGGUUACGGUGGUAGCUGGGAGUUCGCCCAGGAUCUGACAGCACUGGAGGGUUUGUUUGAGGGUCAGAGAGAGGUUGGAGAUGAAGAAUCUUUUAACACCAGUUUCGCCUGAGGUAGCUUUCAAUCAUGCAUGUGAAGGAUCAAAUACUGUACACACACACACACACUCGCCUUUAAAAAUACGCAGACAUUCACUCCCACCCUGACUGCAUGCCAGACCGAAUCUUAAUGAUAGCUAAUUAUUCCUGCAUUUGCCAAAGUCAGACACUAAAUUAAGAGUCAAUAUCCAGACCUCAGUCACGCAAGUCUGUCUCCAGAGACACUUACAUACACACACAUACAGACACACUCACUGAAAACAACAUCAGGUGAUAUAAACCAUGAGUUCAAUGUGACCUUUUGACCUGAGAGACAGAGAAGUUUUCUAGGCUGUUUGUCUGUUAAAAAGUUUGUUUUUGCUGGUUUAUCUUGUGGUUGCUAGGGUGGCUCCCUGGUUUCUGUGUUUAAGAUCAGUGAUUGACAGCCGGCAGUUUCACUCAUUUUUCUAAGUGUCUGUUUCUCCGAAAUGUCUCUGUCAUAAACUGAAUUUGGGAUUUAGUGUUAGAAGAGAGGCCCAAGGGUUAUCAGCAUGCAGGACACAAAUAAACUUUAAUUAAAAGACCGGCUGGAUAAGUAAACAGAUUGUCACACAAAAGAAGCAAACUUAUUAAUGGUGCGCGACUGAGUGAACUUGGGUUCAUCUAUUCACAGAUGCACAGAAAUGUGCUGUCCUGUCUGUUUGAUCAGUCCCAGUGAAACCUCUUUGUCCCGAACGUGAGAAGCAGUACCGAGAGCACAUGGCCUCUUCAUCUGCCAUCAGCGUUUGGUCCAGGAAGACUUGUCUGAACACUAACCCCUCACUCCCUGAAACUCCACUCCCUCCUUGUCAGUUCUCGCCCUGGACCCCUUCCUCACUAUGGGCCUCUGUCUAUAGUUCAUCUGGAUCACGUAGUCACUCUGAGAGAAAAUCAACAGCCUUCUAAAAGAAGAACACAACCGAACAGCCUUUGAAAGAAGAGCAUUUGAUUGCGGAACAUUAAAAGAGGAGAGAGGAUUUGUGGAGACAGAAUCCGAGGAGCGAACAUGUCGGAGACGGUGUCUUGCCUGGAGUUGCGUGCCGUGAAGGGAGACAAACAGUGAGAAGCAGAUCAGUAGGCAGACCAAACAGAUCUUAUGCAUUCCCAAGAAAACAUUCCAUAACUGGGUGCUGUGGUCACAGCCCUGGGAGGUGUGGAGCUGUCAUGAAAUUCUAGGAAGAACACCUCGGCAAUCAGAGCACAAAGAUCAAACCCGAUUGCAAAACACAGCUUCCCUAUACCUCCCUGAGGCCUACACCUACACACACAUGUACACUCACAUACACACACACUCGCCCUAAAACUGUCAUCAGAAUACCCCAGGUAUAUGACCUCUGCUCUGUGUCUUUCAGAGAAACACCUAUUCCCUUUUUUGUCAGUUUCAUGGAGCUUCCAUAGAGUUGAGUUUCACCUGGGAAACAAGGGACUGUGCGUUAUGACAGAGGGGAGAAAACAAUGAUGGUUCAAUCGAGGUCAGAUUUCUUUAUUCCAGCUCUGUUCACGAGAAAAGACGGCCCACGCCUUUAUACUGUUGUGUGCAAAUUACAGUACAAGACGGACCUUCUGCAGGUGUUCCCUGGGAUCGUCAGGGUGGAGCGUGAGGGGGCAGUGUGGGACCAGACGGGAGAGGUGAAGGGGUGUUUCUACGGCUAAAAAUAGUUUGUGAGAACCUGCAGAAGGGCGUGGCUACCUGCCCGCAGGACUGCAGGCCACACCCACUCAACUAUUUAAAGGAGGAAGGAGUCCAACAGUUUACAGACAACCAGGUUAUCUAAACGAUCCAGAUAGAGAGAUCGACAGAUAGACAGAUAGAUAGGAGAGAGUUUUAUCCAAGCAAUAGAAAACCGAGAGAUCCAGGUUGAAACAUCUCGAGACAGGAAGAAGCUUUGACGCCUGUGAGCAACAGGAGGACAAACACCGGAAGAACUCAAAGAGAAGAACCAGGCAAGUUGUUCCAGGAGAGAUCAGAAAGGAGAUCUGCAGACGUCAUGUGCUCUUCCACCUCCGAGAGUCCGUCUUGCGUUGGGGCCCUGACGGCCCCCGCAGCCCUCUGCCUCCCCGGGCCCGCUCACCCCCCACCCCCCCGCCAACGCAGCCGUCGCUCCCUCAAGGUCCUCUACCCUCCCCUGGUGAGACGCCCUCUCCCCAGGGAGGAACCAGACUCUGCUCUCCGCUGGCUCGUCCUCCUCUCCGCCCUCCUCUUCCUGCAGAUCUACACCGAGGAGACUGCCUGUGGGCCUCAGGAACUCCUGUCCCGACCCCCUCUGUCCCCCCGGCCCCAGCCCCAGCAGGGAGAGGGUUGUGUGGGCACGGCCGGGGCCUGGGGUGGGUCGAGCAUAGAGAAGCCCUGGAGGCUGCUACGGGUGCAGACAACAGACCAACUGGAGUGUGUGGUGGCGUGACUGCUUAGCCUUCAUGGUGCACACAACUAAAGACCCUGUUAGCCGGUAACUGCAGCAACACCAAGCUGACAGGAAAGCUGAAACACACAGAGACGGGAUCUGAUUGGUUCAGAGCCGUGCGCGAGCCAGAUGUUGCCAGUCUAAGGUAACUCGAUCCCCCUCUCUCCGUCAUCAGCCAAUCAGCUCUGCAUUUUAGCUGCUGUCGGCUCAGGGGCAGAAAGGGAAGAUAAGGAGGGGGAGGCAGACAGAAAGAGAGAGCUAUCCACCAGUGACUCACGUGUGUCAGAGGUAUCCCUCUCUUCCGCCCACGGAGAAAAAGAAAACACAAGCGCACCAUUGCCGGGUAGCUCAGUGUGUGAGCAUUCGAUUUCCAGCACCGUGUGUGUGUGUGUCUGGCUGAGGCUGUCUCAGAAACUCCGUUGCGUGUGCGUAUGAGCACGUGUGGACUCAGAAACACCGUGAUGCUGAUGCAGCCUCUGAUGCAGCGUCGCUGGCCAGAGCUGUUUCACUCAGCUGGUCAGUGGGGAGAGGGGCUCUUAUCACAGAUGACUGUUAUUCCACACGCACACAAAAGACAUGUCUGACUCCUGGAGACCCAUGGUAGAAAUGUGUGCUUUUUGUGGUGGGAAAUGUUUCUGUUUUGUGUGUCUGCUAAUCUUGAUUAAAUCAUCAUCAUUUGCCUUCUUCA